UGGGGAAUAUUGCACAAUGGGCGGAAGCCUGAUGCAGCGACGCCGCGUGGGGGAUGAAGGCCUUCGGGUUGUAAACUCCUUUCGACAGGGACGAAGCUUUUGUGACGGUACCUGUAUAAGAAGCACCGGCUAACUACGUGCCAGCAGCCGCGGUAAUACGUAGGGUGCGAGCGUUGUCCGGAAUUACUGGCCGUAAAGAGCUAGUAGGUGGUUUGUCGCGUCGUCUGUGAAAUUCCGGGGCUUAACUCCGGGCGUGCAGGCGAUACGGGCUGACUUGAGUGCUGUAGGGGAGACUGGAAUUCCUGGUGUAGCGGUGAAAUGCGCAGAUAUCAGGAGGAACACCGAUGGCGAAGGCAGGUCUCUGGGCAGUAACUGACGCUGAGGAGCGAAAGCUUGGGUAGCGAACAGGAUUAGAUACCCUGGUAGUCCAUGCCGUAAACGGUGGGCGCUAGGUGUAGGGGGCUUCCACGUCUUCUGUGCCGUAGCUAACGCAUUAAGCGCCCCGCCUGGGAGUACGGCCGCAAGCUA
RNAcentral lists this ribosomal RNA (528 nucleotides) under uncultured bacterium. Its description in RNAcentral is "bacterial SSU rRNA". It matches the Rfam family "Bacterial small subunit ribosomal RNA", at positions 355 to 896 of the family's 1533-position model. The record is from RNAcentral.